Molecule: unclassified non-coding RNA, 579 nt
Filed under: Leishmania donovani
Lineage: Eukaryota; Euglenozoa; Kinetoplastea; Trypanosomatida; Trypanosomatidae
Description: gene:unknown
Source: RNAcentral
CCCCAAAGUGCACGUGCGCGACAUGUGCGGCAUCUCGGACGGUUGGCCGGGUGGGCGGGUGCCGCACAGAUGCCAGAGGCACGGCGAGAGAACCCCCACGCUGCAUCAUCGGAGGGGAAAGGAGGGGGAGGGUCCUCCAGACCCGAAUGUAACCAGUCACCCGAGCAUACUAUGGAAUGCGGCCCCGCUUAAUGCGACUGAGGAAGACGCACGGCCUAUGGGCAGGGUGCAGGGUUUCCGAGAGGGUGCUGACUUGAGGCUGCCCGAUUUCCUCCUUGCGCACAUCCGGCAUGCACCUGGACCACGCGCUGCAACCCGCAUGAUGCAAGCUCCACCGCUUCCGCCCUUGGGCGGCCUGUGGCAGGCCGGGGCAAAAUGGAGCUCGGUCCUCAUACACUAUGGCAGAAUGGACACUUGAGAAGGAACUGCAUCUUCUCUCUUCAUUGUAUGUGUGCGACGCUAAUAUGCCAAACACUCAAAGAAAACGUAUUCAAAGGACCUGCUUACAGCGAGUUGCACGUGCUGGCGUGCGCAAGAUCCCUUCCCCCUCCUAAUGCGGAGACAGAGGAUAUGCGAACG